Silurus meridionalis is the source of this 2991-nucleotide long non-coding RNA. RefSeq lists it as uncharacterized. Lineage: Eukaryota; Metazoa; Chordata; Actinopteri; Siluriformes; Siluridae. The transcript is spliced from 3 exons. The record is from RefSeq and is a predicted model, not a curated record.
CAGGUGAGAGGGUAAUCAGGUGAGCGGGUAAAAGGGUAAUCAGGUGAGAGGGUAAUCAGUUGAGUGGGUGAGAGGGUAAUCAGUUGAGCGGGUGAGAGGUUAAUCAGGUGAGCGGGUGAGAGGGUAAACAGGUGAGCAGGUGAGAGGGUAAUCAGGUGAGAGGGUAAUCAGUUGAGCGGGUGAGAGGUUAAUCAGGUGAGCGGGUGAGAGGGUAAUCAGGUGAGAGGGUAAUCAGGUAAGCGGGUGAGAGGGUAAUCAGGUGAGAGGGUAAUCAGGUGAGAGGGUAAUCAGUUGAGCGGGUGAGAGGUUAAUCAGGUGAGCGGGUGAGAGGGUAAUCAGGUGAGAGGGUAAUCAGGUGAGAGGGUAAUUAGGUGAGAGGGUAAUCAGGUGAGAGGGUAAUCAGGUAAGCGGGUGAGAGGGUAAUCAGGUGAGCGGGUAAUCAGGUGAGCAGGUGAGAGGGUAAUCAGGUGAGAGGGUAAUCAGGUGAGAGGGUAAUCAGGUGAGCAGGUGAGAGGGUAAUCAGGUGAGCAGGUGAGAGGGUAAUCAGGUGAGCAGGUAAUGCAUGUCUUCAUGCACAUAAUCACGUCAUUACAGUGCUGGAGCUUGACUGAACACGAUCAUUGUGUGUAGAGACGCCACACAUCAUUCCACAAACCUCCUGAAUACUCAUCACCGUCAUGACCACACCCAUUUCAACGUGAUCAGCAUGAUGCGCUCACUUCCUGUGUCCUCACCACCAGCGAAUCAUCAGUUCCUUUUCCAACUCCGCUGCACGAUCACGAUCCUGCCUGAGUGUGAACGUUGUGUCUAUCCAUUAAUUAAAAGCUUUCAGUUCAAGUUGAGAAUUGGAUAAACAAUGCAGGACCAAUCUGGACGAGGGAUCAGGGUGGUGUGGCUGGAGGGGGGAGGGGGUGUACAGUAGACACGUCUGCAGGCAAAAAUGUUCCUCAAACUUCAGAAAGAAAGAAUGUGCGUUGUGGCUCGCUAAAAGAAGAGGGGACUCUGAAGGACAGGGUGAUGAAGGAACACGUGUCGAGAAGUCCGACAUUCUUUGUCGUCCAUCAUCCGACAUCAUUUUUGCGGAUUCGGUAGUGGCGUUUUAGAGGGUCGUCACGGUAACACCGUUCUUGACGCUUUGAGACCUCAUCUAAAGUUUUUGUUGGGGGUCCUGUGUGAAAUGGUGUACGUUCAAUAAAUGAAGCGCUUUGCAAACAUUUAUAAUUAAAGGUUAAACGGAAGUCUGGACUCACGGCAGAUUGUCCCCCAGCCCCGCCCCCACAAGCCACAUUUGUAUUGCUCUUUAUUUCAUUUCCCUCGCGUGCUAAGGCCAGUCGAGCCGAACGUGUUCAUCGAAAGGCAUUCAGAGCCGAGCGAUCAGGGGAUUGAUUAAUAAUUUGCCCCUGGUCAGGAGCAAACACCUCGAUUCCAUUUCCCAGCAUUCUCCUGAGUGUGUGCUGACUCAGCUGUAACAAAUGACUUUCAUCCGAGCUCAGAUCGCUCCGGCAUGGCACCUGACAGCGUAAUUAAACGUCCGAGGAUGCGUUCCUGAUUUUAUUGUAAUUAUUAUUUUAAAUAACUAGUCAUUCUGCAUAAACCGUAAACUCCUCUGUCCUGAAAGCGUUCCUCCAGGUUCCUCCAGAGCUGCUGGAGCUUCUGUGGAGUGAAGAUGUAAAGUGCUGACACUGGAAUCUCCUUUCAUGGAUGCUAAUUAAAUAAACUACUCCUUACCGAGGACACCCCCCAUGUUAAACGCAGUCUACUUGACUCUAUAUGUUACUAUAGAAACAAUAACAAGAAAACGUACACUGACACUGGAGACUCCUUACAUGGAUGUAAAUUUAAUCUAUUUACACAAAUAAAGCCCCCACGCGAACGAGACUCGUUUCUAUAGAAACGAUAACGGUACAGGGAGACUUUCUGUACACGUUAAUUGCCCCACCCCUCCACCUCGGGAAAGAAAACGCCGUUACGGUUACUAUCCUGAUACGAGAACAUUUAAGCGAAAGUGUGUAUUUAAACCCUUAUUAAACAGGAAGAUGAAGUUGUUUUGUAGGUAUUCCCCAUGUAAAGUGUCGAGUCGUGAGAUAAAUGACUCCACAUCGGCGUAGCACCAGAGAUGUUUCCCCUCGGCGAGUUCCUGCAGCUUAUAUAUGCUGAUUCGGGGUUAAACUGCUACAUCAGUGCACGCAAGCGCCUGAGUGGACCGUUUUUAUCAAAUAAAUAAAUAAACAUACAGAGUUCCAUAAAUACACUGGAAUUUAUGAGGGGGUACGUUUGCUGACGGAACUGAGCUCGACUGGAUUCCCUUCUAGAUGAGGCACAUGGGUAAAUAGAAUAAAAGGCUCCAGAUCACAUUUGGGCACAUAAAUUCUCUCAGGUUCUUCUGUGGGUCCUUGUAUCAAUAUGCUGGAAAGUAGGCCAGGUUGAGAUCUUCUUUACACAUGACCUUGAAGGUUCUACCCCAGGUUACAUCUUUACAAUUGACCUUGAGGGUUUUUCAGCUACAUUCGGGCCGACAAUUGUUUCUUUACACUUGACUUCAUUUGGACCCCAGGUUGUGUCUCCACACUUGACCUUCAGGGGGUUCUUUCCCAGGAUGCAUCUUUACACUUGACCUUGAGGGUUCUUCGGCCACCCCUAACCUGAAGGGUUUGAGCGUGAUGAAUGAACCUUGGGUUGCAGUUUUACACGUGAUCUUGAGGGCUCUUCAGGUGCGUGUGAACCCCAGGUUGCACCUCUACACUUGACCUUGAAGGUUCUGAAGCUAUAAUUGUAUAUAGAACGUUAGAACUCAGGAUUGCAGACGGCGAGAACCCCAUCAGAACUCUUCUGUAGUGAAGACGUAGCGAUCUGAACUGAAAUCUUCAUAUCAGUGAUCACACACUAUGAACGAGCAGUUGCUAUAGCAACAAUAAUAUUUAUAAUAGAAUGAUACUGUUAAAGUAAAUGAAUGUGUAUUGAUUGCUUGUGUGUGUGUGUGUGUGUGUGUGU